CCUACGGGGGGCAGCAGUGGGGAAUAUUGCACAAUGGGGGAAACCCUGAUGCAGCGACGCCGCGUGAAGGAAGAAGUAUUUCGGUAUGUAAACUUCUAUCAGCAGGGAAGAAAAUGACGGUACCUGACUAAGAAGCCCCGGCUAACUACGUGCCAGCAGCCGCGGUAAUACGUAUGGUGCAAGCGUUAUCCGGAUUUACUGGGUGUAAAGGGAGCGCAGGCGGCACGGCAAGCCUGAUGUGAAAGCCCGCGGCCCAACCGCGGGACUGCAUUGGGAACUACCGGGCUGGAGUGCCGGAGAGGUAG
RNAcentral lists this ribosomal RNA (305 nucleotides) under uncultured bacterium. Its description in RNAcentral is "bacterial SSU rRNA". It matches the Rfam family "Bacterial small subunit ribosomal RNA", at positions 338 to 660 of the family's 1533-position model. The record is from RNAcentral.